Molecule: long non-coding RNA, 4950 nt
Organism: Columba livia (rock pigeon)
Lineage: Eukaryota; Metazoa; Chordata; Aves; Columbiformes; Columbidae
Exons: 2
Source: RefSeq, a predicted model, not a curated record
GGGCGGUGGGGGGGGGCGCCUCUCCCCAGCCGGAGCCGACGCGGUUACCGGGCGAGUCCCAGCGCCAGCGCUGCCCGCGGGUGCGCGGAGGUUUUCAACAUUUCUUAUCCAGCGGAUCAUCAGGCUGCUAUAUUCCUUGGAUUCUCAGCUCUGAAGAGGACAUUCUCAGCUCUGUCCCUCUAGAACGGGAGACAGGACUUGUGUCACCUUUCCUGGCCUCAUGAGAGGACUGACAGUUCUCAGAAAAAGCUCCAUCAGAAAAGUACAUGUUAUCCUGAGCACAAAGCGAGUCAAAAACCUCCCCACUUGAGCGGUCAGCUGUGCCCUGGUGGGACACGGGUCCACGUGGUGAUCAUCUCACCAAAGCCUAACUCUUCAGGAACACUGGGCAGGUUACAGAGUCAUCUCUGUCAAACUUCAGUUAAGAUGUUCCUUAGCAUUUAUAAAGAAGGAGACAAGGGGAAAAAGAGAUAAACAAAGUAGUGUUUUUACAUAAAGAAAGAACGAGAGCGUCUGUGAACAACAGCAGGAGAAGCAUCCACGGCGGCCGUUAAAACUGCCCAAACCAAGGCACCGAUGUCAGCUGAACUAUGCAGCACUCACCACGUAACAUCCAAUUCUUCUGCUGGUUUUACUGAUGGUUCCUUCAUUUGGACACUGUACAACUGCUGUGUAAAUAAGCCUGUCCAUGUCCACUGUGCAGUCCAGGUUCUGGGAAUCACUGGCACCACUGAAUGAAAUAUUAAAGCUUUAUCUCACAGCAACCUCCCCAACAUUACAACACACCUCGGAAUUCCAUAUCUGACCAGUUUGCCAUCCUUCAGCAUGCUCUCUGCAGCUUGUUUCUUGUCCAAAAGACAACUGAAGGGCCCAUAUGAACUCUCGAAGGACACUGAACACCCCUGUUAGAGCCUGUCAGACCAACAUCAGUUACUGCAAGGAGAAGGCUUUGGACCAUGGCACUGGCACACGAUGCCUUUGCCAUCUCUGGGGUGACGCACACAGCUGGCAGAACAAACAACGUGAAACCAUCACCACUUUCUGGUCAUCCAAAAUGCACAUGUGCUAACUGUAAUAAUAUCUGUGUCUUACAUCUGGGUCUGCCCUCCUGCUACCAUAACCACUGCCAAUGAAAGAACAAAUAAGUUAUAUCGCACAGAAGGAAAUCUUUGUCUGUUGUAAUGGACCACCAGUAGCAACAAAGCGGUAACAAUCACACCUGAGAACAAGUAUGAUUCCCUAUUAAUAUGGCAUCUUUCUCAUUUUAAAAUAUUGUUUUUGCUAGCUAAAUAGAUCUACCUAUCCUUAAAUUGCAUCUCAAUCAAGUUUAAGCUUUUAGAAACAGUAUUUCUAGUAAAGCUAUAAGAAAAAUUAAAUUUGAAAAUUAUUACCAGAGAUAAAACUACUGAUGACAAAUUUUCAACAUGCAUGCAGUGCCCACGAAAGGAGGAACCGUCUAAUCAUCUUUCAAGUUUGUUUCUCAAAUAUACCAUUUUCAGUCUUUAAUUGCCAGUGCCCUGGAUUUAUGUAGCAACAUGAAAAGAUACUGGGGAUUUUUCUGUUUAUUUAAACGGAUACAAAUGUUGAACACCCUAACACCAUUAACGUCGCACUCGGCCAAAAUCUUCAUUCUUGUACUUACACUUCAUUUUUUGCAAGGAACAGAAAUACCUUUAAAUCUUCAGAUGCCUUUCUUUGUAAAGUCUGAAUGUAACUACAGUAUAAUACAUACAUGUACUGAAUAUCUAGCAUUGACUAUGUAGGAAAAGAACAGACUGUACUCACAAAAAUGGAAAGAAAAGAUAUGAGGUACUUCCAGCUAAGGGAGUGCUAUGAAAGUCUUCUAGUCCUAAAGAACUCCCAUCAGGAAUAUUUUUUUAAAUAUUAUAGAUAAAAUGUACAACAGACACAUGCAAAUACCUGUCAAAGUACCCCCUUGCUUUGCUUUUGCUCUGUUCUUCAAAGAAAUGAGAUGUCGAUUUUUUUUUUAAAGCAACAGUAUACAUACGCAACAACAAGAACUGAUUAGAAAGGCAUCUGGAAAAAUAUCUACAAACUUUUACUCCAAGAUUUGAGAAAAAGAAGAAGUGUAAGAAAAAAUUUUAAAAAUAUAUCUUGUCAGAAAAAAGUGUGGCUGCUAGAGACAAAAUAUUUCCAGAGGAAAAGGAGUUAAAUGUAACCACAAUAACAGAGGUAUUUAUAUAAAAGCAGAGGUCUGCCCAGACACGAGAUUUGAUCUUGCAAUCAGUAAAGCUGUUUACAUGUCUGCUGCCUUUUUUUUUUUUUCAUUGAUGUCUCAUCUAAAUUAUAUCAUAAUCAGCUAUUGCUAGUGAAAAAUUCAGAGCGUGCUUUGCUGGUCUGCAAGCCCACCUCUUGAACAUUAAGACUUCCAAGGUGGUGGGUUUUUUUAGCUCUACCUUUUUUCUUUUCACACCCUCUCCCCUUCUCCAUCUGACUUCUCCAUCACUUAUUCAGCAAUCACAUGAGAAACCUGGUAUUGCCUUGUCUAAAAGCUGGCUACAAAUAGUUUCUUCUGCAGUGAAGACACAGUGAUGUAGGUGGCAAGUCACCACCAUCCACUCUGCGAAUGUGUGGUGACAUCACUCAGUAGCUAGUCAUGGUCCUUUGUUACCUCCUGUCUUCUCCUACACUGUAUGGAGCGGAUUUUAUUGAGUGAUGCUGCUAAAAGUGAAGCGUGUCACUCAGCCUCCUCCUCCCCAGCAGCCCCACCGGCUCCUCUGCAGGUCCCAGCCCUGGCGGCAGCAUCUAAUGAGUCAGCAGACGACAGCAUUUACACAUCUGUACCCAGACAAUUGCUUCUUCAAACCAUCAAGUCAGAAAUCCUGUGCAUUUCAGGCUUUUCCUGCAUACAUGAGUAGAGCAAGACACCUUGACUUGACUGUUGGCAAGAAGCAUCUAUUAAUUUAGGUUUUCAAAAACAUAGUACUAAUUUUGACAGUUGUUAGAGCAACACAAACAAUACACAAUGUUGAACAUAAUGCCAAGUGUCAAUUAUGUCUUUCACAAAAAUAAAACCCUACUGAAGGUAGAAGAAACUUACUUCAAAAAAGACCGAUGUAGGUAACAACAUCAAAAGGAAAAAUAAAAUUGGGAAAAAAGGCAGAUUGGCAGGUAAUCCUCUACCUACUACUUUAGCUUUCACUGAGGGCUCAGAAAAAGGGUCCGUCCUUGGAGCAUUUCCCUUUUUAUAAACAUGGGAAAAAUGUAAAACUACGUUAAAUAAAAUUUUAGAAACUCAUGAAAGAACACUGAAACUUAAGUUAUCCAGAUUCUCUUCCAGUUUCAUUAUAAUUUUUACCAUUCCCUAACGUAUCUAAGUUUACAGUCAUAGAAGAUAGGUGCUUGAAAAUCAGAUCGUUCAAGUUUCAACAGGACUGGCAAGUGUAGUUCAGACAAAGCAUAACAAUGAUCAUCCUGGCUCCCUGACAGUGAAAGAAACACACUUCAAAGAGUAUACGUAUUUUUAAAGGCCACUACUACUUCACCCUACUUACAGGAAACCUAGAAUAGAAACAGAUUUAUAUAGUCUUUAUUUGCUCCUGGUAUUUAACACCCAUGAGACACCUUUAUACAUGCAUAAAAAGGAAAAGUAAUAAGAGACAGAAGAGCCAACUUCACAAGGUGAUUCUAAAUAAUGAAAUUUGGUUCAGUUGUAAGAAUCACCAAUUUACCUUCAAAUGCUAAUUAAGAACUAGAUGAAGGAAAAGAUACGUGAAAGUGUACAGACUGUUGGGAGACAUAGAGAGCAAAAUAAAAUUAGCAGAAAUUACUGCAAGCAGAACAAAAUCAAGCACGAGAAAAAUAAAGCAAAAAUUCUGGGAGAAGGAGAAGGGAAGAACAUGGAGAGAGAGAAAAGGAAUGUUGCCAAGGCAAGAAUAGAUAACUGAAGACGGGAUGAGAAGAAGGAUGAGAAAGCUCAGCAGAGUGCAGGAAGAAAUGCAAACUAAAAAAAGAUGAGGACUAAAUCUUGCAAGGGAAAACCUCACUUUGGCGUUCCUGCUCCAGCAGGGGGAUUGGACUAGAUGAUCUUUUGAGGUCCCUUCCAAUCCCAAACAUACUGUGAUACUGUGAAAACACCUAAUGCAGCAAAUGUGCCCAACUUAAAUGAGCCUUUUUAGGAGAAAAAGGGCAAGAGCACUUUGAAUAUUUUAAGGAAGAUCAACAUGUGCUCUUCUGCGUACUGUCUAUACAAUCCACCAGAAUAUGUACUGGAAAAUCAUACUUCCUUCUUUUCCUCCCAAAAAAGGGACACAGCAGUAAGCAGGUCACUGCUCCCCCUGCUCCAGUGAGCAACUCAGCAAUGACAAGAACAGCUGCAGAAGUGCCAGGUCUGGAGUUGUACACAGCACCUGGCAUUUAAAACCAUGUUCUGGAGGUUCCUAUGUGCUGGAAAAUAGGAUAUAUUGAGUACAAUUUAUAUCUAUUUUAAGUAAGUACAAAGUACAUUCAGAACACCUGUAGCAUCUGGUUUUUUACAUCAGAAAUUGAACAUUUGCACAUAAAAAAUAAGGCAGUAAAGUGAUAUCAUGGACAGAGAAAGUAAAACAUGAAUUUAAAAACCGGAUUUUUUCAGACUUUUGUUUAUUUUUGCUGUUAUUUUUCAUGCUUAUUAGUAGAAGACUGAGAAGAGCUUGCUUUUUUAUUUUUUAAAAAUCUGCUACACCCCCAAUUGCUAUGUUAAAAUUGGAAAGACUCCCAACCAACAUGAGUCAUCAAACCACUCUUCCAACAAGAAUAAAAAGAUGGCAAGACUUAACAUCGCCCUGGUUUAUUUUCACUGAGAAAUAUCAACAGGAAAAGUGACUGAAUGUGAUAAAAUAUUCAGACUUGCUUUAUCCCGCAAGGAUAAUUAUUACUAUUAUUUUGUUCCUUUUUUAACCUGCUUGAGAAAGCACACAAAGUGACGAGAUAAAUAAAAGGCCAGAUCCA